UUUCAAGAUUCUCUCUUUGUCUUUUGCCCUUGGCAUUUUAAUUAUGAUGUGUCUUGGUGUGGUUCUCUUUGGAUUCCUCUUGUUUGGGGUUCUGUGUGCUUCCUGAAAUUUGCUCUCACAUGCUCCUGAAGAUGGCCAGCACGUGGGACGGUGGAAGACAGCGGAAAGGGCACAGGACCAGGAUUGGGGAGCCACAGCAACUGGUCUAUAUGCCCAUUAGCCAGGUCAGUCUGCCAACAGCAAGAAGACCCGCUCGUGAAAGGUUGAGCAUUUCGAAUGUGUCCUGGAAGAAUUCUCCCAACACCGCAUAUUUCCCGAACAGGGAGCAUGUAAGAAAGCAAAUUUUUAGCAAAAUGAUUCUAAUGCCAUUUUCAGUUAAAAGCACUGGGAGAUUUACAAUGAUCAAGUAAUAUGCCAAUUUCUUUCAAAUGCUGCCAACAUUUGACGCCAACACAAUUGCACGUUGGAAAAAUGUGUAAUGAAUAAGGCAGCUCAUAAUUUUCCUUCGAAUAUGUAUGUACAACUUAUUAAGUGGCAUAAAAAGCAAA
Molecule: long non-coding RNA, 548 nt
Organism: Eptesicus fuscus (big brown bat)
Lineage: Eukaryota; Metazoa; Chordata; Mammalia; Chiroptera; Vespertilionidae
Exons: 3
Source: RefSeq, a predicted model, not a curated record